Molecule: ribosomal RNA, 482 nt
Filed under: uncultured bacterium
Lineage: Bacteria
Description: bacterial SSU rRNA
Rfam family: Bacterial small subunit ribosomal RNA
Source: RNAcentral
GACGAACGCUGGCGGCGUGCUUAACACAUGCAAGUCGAGCGGUAAGGCUCCUUCGGGAGUACACGAGCGGCGAACGGGUGAGUAACACGUGAGCAAUCUACCCUUCACAUCGGGAUAACUCCGGGAAACCGGAGCUAAUACCGGAUACGACCACUUCAGGCAUCUGACGGUGGUGGAAAGCCCUGGCGGUGGAGGAUGAGCUCGCGGCCUAUCAGCUUGUUGGUGGGGUAACGGCCCACCAAGGCAACGACGGGUAGCCGGCCUGAGAGGGUGACCGGCCACACUGGGACUGAGACACGGCCCAGACUCCUACGGGAGGCGGCAGUGGGGAAUUUUGGACAAUGGGGCAACCCUGAUCCAGCGACGCCGCGUGAAGGAUGAAGGUCUUCGGAUUGUAAACUUCUUUUGGAGGGGAUGAAUGUCUGCGUGAAUAACGCAGCGUGACAGUACUCUUCGAAUAAGCCACGGCUAACUACGUGCCA